RNAcentral lists this non-coding RNA (30 nucleotides) under Rattus norvegicus (Norway rat). The record is from RNAcentral. Lineage: Eukaryota; Metazoa; Chordata; Mammalia; Rodentia; Muridae.
UAUUACAACAGUGUAGACAUGCUCUGAGGA